GGGCUGCUAGCUCAAUAGGCAGAGCGGCGGACUCUUAAUCCGCAGGUUCCGGGUUCGAGUCCCGGGCAGCCCA
This 73-nucleotide transfer RNA is filed under the name Aquifex aeolicus VF5. It matches the Rfam family "tRNA". Rfam says of the family: Transfer RNA (tRNA) molecules are approximately 80 nucleotides in length. Their secondary structure includes four short double-helical elements and three loops (D, anti-codon, and T loops). The record is from Rfam by way of RNAcentral. Lineage: Bacteria; Pseudomonadati; Aquificota; Aquificia; Aquificales; Aquificaceae.